This 1132-nucleotide long non-coding RNA is filed under the name Portunus trituberculatus (swimming crab). RNAcentral describes it as "uncharacterized LOC123510637, transcript variant X2". The record is from RNAcentral. Lineage: Eukaryota; Metazoa; Arthropoda; Malacostraca; Decapoda; Portunidae.
CAAAUAGAGGAAAAGAAAUACAUUCUUUAUCAUAACUUUGAUACGCAUGCCAUUAUUGUUCGUAAAUAGAAAAAAAAGUAAUAACAUCCACAGCCACUGCUAUGCCAUAGCCUAUUCUUAUCAGCAAAGCUUAUAAGAAAUACUAGAACGAAUUAAUCAUAUUCAUCAUAAUUUAUCGAUAUUCAUAAUAAUAUAUAAAAGAAACGUAUCUUAAUUUCUAAACCCACAAAAAAAAAAACAGUGAUCGAAAAAUUAAGACAUUUAUGAAUGCUCAGUUUGACCUAACACGCACUGUCACACUGAGUCUCACACGCACCGAUGGUGAAUAGAAACGGGUAGGCUUGGUGUGUGCACUUUAUCAUCAAUCAUCGGCCUCAAGAAGCCUCUCACGGGACCUUUAGUACAAUGAACAUCACCGUGAAUAUUAGUGACAGUAAAGCUGAAAAUACCUUGUACUAUCUUUUAUGAUGGAAAAAGUAUUAAAGAUUGUGAGUAAACAUGAUGAAAAACGAAGGUGUGAUGCAGUGAUAGUGGAUAUAUUGAAGGUGAGUGAAAAUAUAGUGAACGAAGGUGAUGAAAAAUAGUGAUAUGGAAAAGAAAAUAUAGUGAAAAAAGAAAAUGUGAAAAUUGUACAGCGUGAAUGGGAAAAGAGAAUAGUGAAAAAAUAAAUGUAGAAGAUCGUUGUGAAAGAAAAAUAAUGAAGAUGAAAGAUAAAGAAAAGUCAAAUAGAAAGAAAUGAAAUGGAGAUGAUGCAAAUGGAAAAAGGGAGUACUGACUCAGAGGAUGUGACGGAAGAAGAAGAAGAAAGAGAAGGAGGAGGAGGAGGAGGAGGAGAAGGAGGGGAAAGAAGAGGAAGCUAUUGUUUACCUUCUUCUCACCUGCCUUACCUCAUUUACUGUUUACCUGUCAAAUUCUCCCUUUCCUCACCUGCCCCGUCUCACUGUUUGUUCCCGUCACACCAGCACCGGAAGGACCUAACUAGUGACACCUGGCGGACAAGAUAGCACUAAUGACAGGACCGUGAGAGUGAAAGGGUUAAGCUCACCUAUGAAAACACCCACACAGAUCCUGGUGGAGUGGGGCGCUCUCAUCGGAAAGGUGAGUACAAAAAGAAGAAAAAGUGAAGUAAGAG